RNAcentral lists this ribosomal RNA (441 nucleotides) under uncultured bacterium. RNAcentral's name for it is "partial 16S ribosomal RNA". It matches the Rfam family "Bacterial small subunit ribosomal RNA", at positions 338 to 795 of the family's 1533-position model. The record is from RNAcentral.
CCUACGGGGGGCAGCAGUGGGGAAUAUUGCACAAUGGGGGGAACCCUGAUGCAGCGACGCCGCGUGAGUGAAGAAGUAUUUCGGUAUGUAAAGCUCUGUCAGCAGGGAAGAAGAAAGACGGUACCUGACCAAGAAGCCCCGGCUAACUACGUGCCAGCAGCCGCGGUAAUAAGUAGGGGGCAAGCGUUAUCCGGAUUUACUGGGUGUAAAGGGAGCGUAGACGGCAGGGCAAGUCUGGAGUGAAAGGCAGGGGCCCAACCCCUGGACUGCUCUGGAAACUGUCCGGCUGGAGUGCAGGAGAGGUGAGUGGAAUUCCUAGUGUAGCGGUGAAAUGCGUAGAUAUUAGGAGGAACACCAGUGGCGAAGGCAGCAUACCGGCGCCCAACUGACGCUGAAGCACGAAAGCGUGGGUAUCGAACAGGAUUAGAUACCCUUGUAGUC